UCAACCUAAAUGACAACACCUU
Molecule: unclassified non-coding RNA, 22 nt
Filed under: Mus musculus (house mouse)
Lineage: Eukaryota; Metazoa; Chordata; Mammalia; Rodentia; Muridae
Description: oocyte_clustered_small_RNA9553
Source: RNAcentral